CUAUGAAAAGGAGCUGGGAAGUUAACAUUGCCACAAGCUCAGAAGUAGCCCAGAAUGAGGGCGACCAAGGCUGUUUCAGUUCCAUGUCCAGUCCUGAAACCAGAUUGGAAUGGAUCUAAAUAAUCUGCUUCAUCCAAGUGUGUCUGUAAUUGUUUGGCCACCACUCGCUCUAUCACCUUGCCCAAGAAUGGUUGUCUCUUAUCUAGGUCCCCUCUCAAUAAGUCAUCCUUGCUAUGGAAAUAUCUGCUAUAAAAUCUGUGCAAGCAUCAUUCCAUGAGGUCUCUACACACUAGUUUUUGAAAGCCCAAAGAUUGCUGUACUGGGUAAUAAUACAGGUGAUGUUCCAGACCAGGCAGCCUUAGACUGUUGUUGCAGAGAAACCUGACACAGCGUUGUGAAAUAAAAAUAUGAUAUGAACAAUGCAACAAUAGCUAUAAC
This is a long non-coding RNA of Rhineura floridana, 438 nucleotides long. RefSeq lists it as uncharacterized. The record is from RefSeq and is a predicted model, not a curated record. Lineage: Eukaryota; Metazoa; Chordata; Lepidosauria; Squamata; Rhineuridae. The transcript is spliced from 3 exons.